AUAUUGGCGAGAGACCGAUAGCGAACAAGUACCGUGAGGGAAAGAUGAAAAGCACUUUGGAAAGAGAGUUAAACAGUACGUGAAAUUGUUGAAAGGGAAACGCUUGGAGUCAGUCGCGUUUGUUAGAACUCAGCUUGGCUUCUGCUUAGUGUACUUUCUAAUGAACGGGCCAACAUCGAUUUCAGUCAGUGGAUAAGGGUAAGAGGAAUGUGGCACCUUCGGGUGUGUUAUAGCCUCUUAUCGUAUACAUUUACUGGGAUCGAGGUCUGCAGCACUUGUGCUUAGGAUGUUGGCAUAAUGGCUUUAAUCGACCCGUCUUGAAACA
RNAcentral lists this ribosomal RNA (325 nucleotides) under uncultured fungus. Its description in RNAcentral is "LSU rRNA". It matches the Rfam family "Eukaryotic large subunit ribosomal RNA", at positions 320 to 661 of the family's 3401-position model. The record is from RNAcentral. Lineage: Eukaryota; Fungi.